Molecule: ribosomal RNA, 468 nt
Filed under: uncultured bacterium
Lineage: Bacteria
Description: partial 16S ribosomal RNA
Rfam family: Bacterial small subunit ribosomal RNA
Source: RNAcentral
GACGAACGCUGGCGGCGUGCUUAACACAUGCAAGUCGAACGGAAAGGCCCUGCUUUUGUGGGGUGCUCGAGUGGCGAACGGGUGAGUAACACGUGAGUAACCUGCCCUUGACUUUGGGAUAACUUCAGGAAACUGGGGCUAAUACCGGAUAGGAGCUCCUGCUGCAUGGUGGGGGUUGGAAAGUUUCGGCGGUUGGGGAUGGACUCGCGGCUUAUCAGCUUGUUGGUGGGGUAGUGGCUUACCACGGCUUUGACGGGUAGCCGGCCUGAGAGGGUGACCGGCCCCAGUGGGACUGAGAUACGGCCCAGACUCCUACGGGAGGCAGCAGUGGGGAAUAUGGCACAAUGGGCGGAAGCCUGAUGCAGCAACGCCGCGGGCGGGACGACGGCCUUUGGGUUGUAAACCGCUUUCGCCUGUGACGAAGCGUGAGUGACGGUAAUGGGUAAAGAAGCACCGGCUAACUACGUG